UACGUAGGGUGCAAGCGUUGUCCGGAAUUAUUGGGCGUAAAGAGCUCGUAGGCGGUCUGUUGCGUCGGCUGUGAAAACCCGGGGCUCAACUCCGGGCCUGCAGCCGAUACGGGCAGACUAGAGUUCGGCAGGGGAGACUGGAAUUCCUGGUGUAGCGGUGAAAUGCGCAGAUAUCGGGAGGAACACCGGUGGCGAAGGCGGUUCUCUGGGCCUGUUCUGACGCUGAGGAGCGAAAGCGUGGGGAGCAAACAGG
RNAcentral lists this ribosomal RNA (253 nucleotides) under uncultured bacterium. RNAcentral describes it as "partial 16S ribosomal RNA". It matches the Rfam family "Bacterial small subunit ribosomal RNA", at positions 524 to 776 of the family's 1533-position model. The record is from RNAcentral.